GCCCUCGUAGCUCAGGGGAUAGAGCAGCGGUUUCCUAAACCGCGUGCCGGGUGUUCGAGUCACCCCGAGGGCACCC
Molecule: transfer RNA, 76 nt
Filed under: uncultured Chloroflexota bacterium
Lineage: Bacteria; Bacillati; Chloroflexota
Description: uncultured Chloroflexi bacterium tRNA-Arg-CCT
Rfam family: tRNA
About the family: Transfer RNA (tRNA) molecules are approximately 80 nucleotides in length. Their secondary structure includes four short double-helical elements and three loops (D, anti-codon, and T loops).
Source: RNAcentral